This 533-nucleotide ribosomal RNA is filed under the name uncultured Pseudonocardia sp. Its description in RNAcentral is "bacterial SSU rRNA". It matches the Rfam family "Bacterial small subunit ribosomal RNA", at positions 355 to 897 of the family's 1533-position model. The record is from RNAcentral. Lineage: Bacteria; Bacillati; Actinomycetota; Actinomycetes; Pseudonocardiales; Pseudonocardiaceae.
UGGGGAAUAUUGCGCAAUGGGCGGAAGCCUGACGCAGCGACGCCGCGUGGGGGAUGACGGCCUUCGGGUUGUAAACCUCUUUCGAUCGGGACGAAGAGUGAUUGACGGUACCGGUAGAAGAAGCACCGGCCAACUACGUGCCAGCAGCCGCGGUAAUACGUAGGGUGCGAGCGUUGUCCGGAAUUACUGGGCGUAAAGAGCUCGUAGGCGGUCUGUCGCGUCGGUCGUGAAAACUUGGGGCUUAACCCCGAGCUUGCGGUCGAUACGGGCAUGACUGGAGUUCGGCAGGGGAGACUGGAAUUCCUGGUGUAGCGGUGAAAUGCGCAGAUAUCAGGAGGAACACCGGUGGCGAAGGCGGGUCUCUGGGCCGAUACUGACGCUGAGGAGCGAAAGCGUGGGGAGCGAACAGGAUUAGAUACCCUGGUAGUCCACGCCGUAAACGGUGGGCGCUAGGUGUGGGGGCCAUUCCACGGCCUCUGUGCCGCAGCUAACGCAUUAAGCGCCCCGCCUGGGGAGUACGGCCGCAAGGCUAA